GAUCUGGCUGUGACAUCUGUCACCCCAUUGAUCACCAGGGUUGAUUUGGCUGGCUAGGCAGGUGUCCCCUUCC
This is a non-coding RNA of Podarcis lilfordi (Lilford's wall lizard), 73 nucleotides long. The record is from the annotation of a GenBank genome assembly. NCBI's taxonomy places the organism in Eukaryota, Metazoa, Chordata, Lepidosauria, Squamata, Lacertidae.